GAUGAACGCUGGCGGCGUGCCUAAUACAUGCAAGUCGAGCGAACAGACGAUGCGCUUGCUCCUCUGACGUUAGCCGCGGACGGGUGAGUAACACGUGGAUCCCCUCCCUAUCAGUCUGGUAUCACUUCGGGACACCGGCUCUUAUCCCGUAUAAUCUCUUGCACCGCAUGGUUCAUUAGUGAAUGUCGGUUUUUCUGUCUCUUCUCGAUGGUUCCCGGCCGCAUUAGCUAGUUGGUACGGUAACGGCUUACCACGGCAACGAUGCGUAGCCGACCUGAGAGGGGGAUCGGCCACGCUGGAACUGAGACACGGUCCAGAGUACUACGGGAGGCAGCAGUAGGGAAUCGGCCGCAAAGGGCGAAAGCUUAACGGAGCAACGCCGCGUGAGAGAUGAAGGUCUUCGGAGCGUAAAAAUCGGUUAUUAGGGAAGAACAAAUGUGUAAGGAGAUAUGCACGUCUUGACGGUACCGAAUCAGAAAGCAACGGCUAACUACGUG
Molecule: ribosomal RNA, 497 nt
Filed under: uncultured bacterium
Lineage: Bacteria
Description: partial 16S ribosomal RNA
Rfam family: Bacterial small subunit ribosomal RNA
Source: RNAcentral